CUUGCUUCUCUUGAGAGCGGCGGACGGGUGAGUAAUGCCUAGGAAUCUGCCUGGUAGUGGGGGAUAACGUCCGGAAACGGACGCUAAUACCGCAUACGUCCUACGGGAGAAAGCAGGGGACCUUCGGGCCUUGCGCUAUCAGAUGAGCCUAGGUCGGAUUAGCUAGUUGGUGGGGUAAUGGCUCACCAAGGCGACGAUCCGUAACUGGUCUGAGAGGAUGAUCAGUCACACUGGAACUGAGACACGGUCCAGACUCCUACGGGAGGCAGCAGUGGGGAAUAUUGGACAAUGGGCGAAAGCCUGAUCCAGCCAUGCCGCGUGUGUGAAGAAGGUCUUCGGAUUGUAAAGCACUUUAAGUUGGGAGGAAGGGCAGUAAAUUAAUACUUUGCUGUUUUGACGUUACCGACAGAAUAAGCACCGGCUAACUCUGUGCCAGCAGCCGCGGUAAUACAGAGGGUGCAAGCGUUAAUCGGAAUUACUGGGCGUAAAGCGCGCGUAGGUGGUUCGUUAAGUUGGAUGUGAAAUCCCCGGGCUCAACCUGGGAACUGCAUUCA
This 554-nucleotide ribosomal RNA is filed under the name uncultured bacterium. RNAcentral describes it as "bacterial SSU rRNA". It matches the Rfam family "Bacterial small subunit ribosomal RNA", at positions 79 to 629 of the family's 1533-position model. The record is from RNAcentral.